This 428-nucleotide ribosomal RNA is filed under the name uncultured eukaryote. RNAcentral describes it as "SSU rRNA". It matches the Rfam family "Eukaryotic small subunit ribosomal RNA", at positions 592 to 1018 of the family's 1831-position model. The record is from RNAcentral.
CAAUAGCGUAUAUUAAAGUUGUUGCAGUUAAAAAGCUCGUAGUUGGAUUUCUGGUCUGAUGCCCUGGCCCGCGUCUUAUAGAUGUGUGUGCCGGCUGUGCGUCUGCCAUCCUUCUAGUAACCCUUCCUACCCUUCACUGGGCCGGGUUGGCGAUCUAGAUCUUUUACUUUGAAAAAUUAGAGUGUUUAAAGCAGGCUUUUGCUAUGAAUACAUUAGCAUGGAAUAAUAAUCUAGGACUUCGGUUCUAUUUUGUUGGUUUCUAGUACUGAAGUAAUGAUUGAUAGGGAUAGUUGGGGGUGGCUAGUAUUGAGCGGCCAGAGGUGAAAUUCUUGGAUUCGCUCAAGACUAACUUAUGCGAAAGCAUUCACCAAGGAUGUCUUCUUUAAUCAAGAACGAAAGUUGGGGGAUCGAAGACGAUCAGAUACCGU